Molecule: long non-coding RNA, 278 nt
Filed under: Gossypium barbadense (sea-island cotton)
Lineage: Eukaryota; Viridiplantae; Streptophyta; Magnoliopsida; Malvales; Malvaceae
Description: long non-coding RNA (GBAR_LNC005658)
Source: RNAcentral
UUUAAAUCAAGAUCGUGGCAAAGGGUUGUUAGGUACACCUCCACCAGGGUUUCCACCCAAUAACACAGUAGUUAUGUCUGCAACAAUUGGAGGUCAUUUAGGUACUUCUUCUUGUAUUGGCACGAUUAUUCGAUGGGAAGACUCUUUCAGCUACAAUGUUCACGGUUUGAUGGUGCAAACUUUUGUAGUUGGUGAGCUAAGCUAGAACAAUUUCUCAAGGCUGAAAAUGUGGGAGAUCAAGCCAAAGUUCGAUUAGUCAUGUUGAAUCUUAAUGGUCG